This 408-nucleotide ribosomal RNA is filed under the name uncultured bacterium. RNAcentral's name for it is "partial 16S ribosomal RNA". It matches the Rfam family "Bacterial small subunit ribosomal RNA", at positions 28 to 526 of the family's 1533-position model. The record is from RNAcentral.
GACGAACGCUGGCGGCGUGCUUAACACAUGCAAGUCGAACGAAGUGGCGAACGGGUGAGUAACGCGUAAUCAACCUGCCCUUCAGAGGGGGACAACAGUUGGAAACGACUGCUCAUACCGCAUACUGAAGGAGGGGAUUGCGUCUGUUUAGCUAGUUGGAGGGGUAACGGCCGACCAAGGCGAUGAUCAGUAGGCGGUCUGAGGGGAUGGACGGCCACAUUGGGACCUGUAAACGGCCCAGACUCCUACGGUAGGCAGCAGUGGGGGAUCUUCCGCAAUGGACGGAAGUCUGACGGAGCAACGCCGGGUGAGGGAAGGCAGCCUUCGGGUUGUAAAGCUCUGUUAAUCGGGGCGCGGUACCGGAAUAGAAAGCCACGGCUAACUACGUGCCAGCAGCCGCGGUAAUUC